UUUGAUCCUUUCUCAGGACGAACGCUGGCGGCGUGCCUAAUACAUGCAAGUCGAGCGGACCGAAGGGAGCUUGCUCCUUUAGGUUAGCGGCGGACGGGUGAGUAACACGUGGGCAACCUGCCCUGCAGACUGGGAUAACUUCGGGAAACCGGAGCUAAUACCGGAUAACACCGAAAACCGCAUGGUUUUCGGUUGAAAGGCGGCUUUUAGCUGUCACUGCAGGAUGGGCCCGCGGCGCAUUAGCUAGUUGGUGAGGUAACGGCUCACCAAGGCGACGAUGCGUAGCCGACCCGAGAGGGUGACCGGCCACACUGGGACUGAGACACGGCCCAGACUCCUACGGGAGGCAGCAGUAGGGAAUCUUCCGCAAUGGACGAAAGUCUGACGGAGCAACGCCGCGUGAGCGAAGAAGGUCUUCGGAUCGUAAAGCUCUGUUGUCAGGGAAGAACAAGUGCCGUUCGAACAGGGCGGUACCUUGACGGUACCUGACGAGGAAGCCACGGCUAACUACGUGCCAGCAGCCGCGGUAAUACGUAGGUGGCAAGCGUUGUCCGGAAUUAUUGGGCGUAAAGCGCGCGCAGGCGGUUCCUUAAGUCUGAUGUGAAAUCUCGCGGCUCAACCGCGAGCGGCCAUUGGAAACUGGGGAACUUGAGUGCAGGAGAGGGGAGCGGAAUUCCACGUGUAGCGGUGAAAUGCGUAGAGAUGUGGAGGAACACCAGUGGCGAAGGCGGCUCUCUGGCCUGUAACUGACGCUGAGGCGCGAA
Molecule: ribosomal RNA, 764 nt
Filed under: uncultured bacterium
Lineage: Bacteria
Description: bacterial SSU rRNA
Rfam family: Bacterial small subunit ribosomal RNA
Source: RNAcentral